GGGUUGUGAGGUUAAGCGACUAAGCGUACACGGUGGAUGCCCUGGCAGUCAGAGGCGAUGAAGGGCGUGCUAAUCUGCGAUAAGCGCCGGUAAGGUGAUAUGAACCGUUAUAACCGGCGAUACCCGAAUGGGGAAACCCAGUGUGACUCGUCACACUAUCAUUAACUGAAUCC
Molecule: ribosomal RNA, 173 nt
Filed under: Salmonella enterica subsp. enterica serovar Newport
Lineage: Bacteria; Pseudomonadati; Pseudomonadota; Gammaproteobacteria; Enterobacterales; Enterobacteriaceae
Description: partial 23S ribosomal RNA
Rfam family: Bacterial large subunit ribosomal RNA
Source: RNAcentral